This is a long non-coding RNA of Priapulus caudatus, 707 nucleotides long. RefSeq lists it as uncharacterized. The record is from RefSeq and is a predicted model, not a curated record. The transcript is spliced from 2 exons. NCBI's taxonomy places the organism in Eukaryota, Metazoa, Priapulida, Priapulimorpha, Priapulimorphida, Priapulidae.
CUAACCCCUAUAUAAGGUCACCGGGGAGGAGAUUUGGCUAGGAGUUGUUGAUUUGCGACUAGUUCAGAGGUCGACAUUUUCCCCAGCUCGGAAGGAUAAAAAAAACCACCAGACCAUGUUUCUAACCCAUCGUCGCACAGCACCGCUGCUGUUACUGCUACUGGUGGUGGUUACCGCACACCUGGUCGCCAGUGAAGACCUGGACGAGUGUCGUGGUGAGAAGAGGGGACUUCAGACGGGAAUCGAAGCUCUAUCUACGAUGCUGGGAGACUGCCGCAAUGAGCUGAGCAACGAGAGAGGUCUGUGUAAGGAACGCGUGCGAGCAGUCAGCCUACAGUGUCAACAGAAGCAAGGCAGCGAGGCUGGAGAGCGUUAACCAGACCAGUGCGACUUCCAUCUGUGAAGCGUAUAACCCGUGUGAAAUCUGUCGCGAGGUCUAUCUCGUUUAUAACUUGUCGGAAUGCAGGGAAACCAAAGUCAGGACGUCUAAAGAAAUACAUCAGCUGAUUUUUGAAUCUAAAAUCUUGCAGUUAUAUAUAUAUAUAUAUAUAUAUAUAUCAAACCGCGUGCUAAAUUUAAUUUCGAUUUUUUUUUCAUUUCCCGUGGGAGGAACGUGUGUACUAGCAUGAAAGCGUAAUUAUACGAAGGUGGUGACAGUUUCCUACCGUAAUAAGUUGCUAUUAAAACGUCUAUGUUUGAAACACCUA